AAAGAAGAGGGAAAAGAAAGAGGAAAAAUAACAGAUUGAACGUUUAUUCCGAUAAUAGUACAAGUUUCCUUCUCUUUUAUUUCUUUC
This 87-nucleotide non-coding RNA is filed under the name Chloropicon mariensis. Lineage: Eukaryota; Viridiplantae; Chlorophyta; Chloropicophyceae; Chloropicales; Chloropicaceae. The record is from RNAcentral.